GAUCAUGGCUCAGGAUGAACGCUGGCGGCGUGCUUAAUACAUGCAAGUCGAACGAAGCUACUUUGACAGGUCCCCGUCGGGGUGAAGAUGAUUGUGACUUAGUGGCGGGACGGGUGAGUAACGCGUGGGGAACCUGCCUCGUGCGUGGGGGAUAACAGUUAGAAAUGACUGCUAAUACCGCAUAAGCGCACAGUAAGGCAUCUUACAGUGUAGAAAAGAUUUAUCGGCAUGAGAUCGGACCCGCGUCUGAUUAGGUAGUUGGCGGGGUAACGGCCCACCAAGCCCGCGAUCAGUAGCCGACUUGAGAGAGUGAUCGGCCACAGUUGGGACUGAGACACCGGCCCAGACUCCGUACGGGAGGCAGCAGGUAGGGAAUAUUGCACAAUGGGGGAAACCCUGAUGCAGCGACGCCGCGUGAGUGAUGAAGUAUUUCGGUACGUAAAACUCUAUCAGCAGGGAAGAUAAUGACGGUACCUGACUAAGAAGCCCCGGCUAACUACGUGCCAGCCGCGGC
This 514-nucleotide ribosomal RNA is filed under the name uncultured bacterium. RNAcentral's name for it is "bacterial SSU rRNA". It matches the Rfam family "Bacterial small subunit ribosomal RNA", at positions 15 to 518 of the family's 1533-position model. The record is from RNAcentral.